This 96-nucleotide microRNA precursor is filed under the name Schmidtea mediterranea. Its description in RNAcentral is "microRNA sme-mir-2164 precursor". The record is from miRBase by way of RNAcentral. Lineage: Eukaryota; Metazoa; Platyhelminthes; Tricladida; Dugesiidae.
CCAUAUUCAGGUAAUAAAAUUAUAUUUGAUUCACGUAGAGAUUGAGAUCUAUCUUGUGCGUGAUAUCAAGUAUAAUAAUGUUCUGACUCUUCAUCU